Molecule: long non-coding RNA, 373 nt
Filed under: Mus caroli (Ryukyu mouse)
Lineage: Eukaryota; Metazoa; Chordata; Mammalia; Rodentia; Muridae
Description: lncRNA (MGP_CAROLIEiJ_G0003924.1)
Source: RNAcentral
AGUCUUCUCCUAGUGGCCUUCAGAUGAAGAUGUAGAACUCUCAGCUCCUCCUGCAUCAUGUUCCUGCCUUGAUGAUAAUGGACUGAACCUCUGAACCUUGCUCUUCAGGACUAUGACCAUGCAGUGACAGGCUGAGGCUACCAUCCUGUCAUUAGAAGAGAUGGUGGAGUUGGAAGAGAAAGUGCUGAAUUUCCACUCCUGCAUGCACAGGGUUUUGCUGUGUAACCAAAGCUGCCUUCACACUCUCAUAAGCCAGGCUGCCUUGAAUUCAGAGGUCCUCUUGCAUCAGCAUCCCAGAGGCUUAAGACAUACACUGGCUUCUAACAAACUGAAAAAAAAAAAAUCCACAUGCCGGGAAGGGAGCUCACUGCAC